GGAGCCUACGGCUUAAUUUGAUUCAACACGGGGGAACUCAGCUGGUACACACAUAAAAGGAUUGAAAAAUCACCUUUUCAGUUGGGUCAAGCUUCGGCUUUUCUGUCUUCCUAAAUAUACUACCUGCGCUAAGCAGGGUGAUGUUGGGCAAUAACAGGUCUAUCAUGCCCUUAGAUGUUCUGGGCCGCACAUGCGCUACACUGACAUAGUUAAUGAGUAUAUAACCAUGGCUAAUAAGCUUGGGUACUCUUUUAAAGCUAUUUCGUACUGGGAAUUGAGGUAUGUAGCAAGGUUUCUGUACG
This is a ribosomal RNA of Phycomyces blakesleeanus NRRL 1555(-), 302 nucleotides long. It matches the Rfam family "Eukaryotic small subunit ribosomal RNA", at positions 1178 to 1605 of the family's 1831-position model. NCBI's taxonomy places the organism in Eukaryota, Fungi, Mucoromycota, Mucoromycetes, Mucorales, Phycomycetaceae. The record is from Rfam.